CAUAAACAGUGUCUUUCUAGGUUCUCUGCCUUCUGUCUCACCCUAAUGGCCCAUGUUAAUGAGGAAAUCCUUCCCUGUAUUGCUGUCUCCUCUCUGAUGUUGCUUAAUAAAUGAGUAAUUUAGUUAAUACUAAAUACCAUGUCAAUCGAAUUCAUCAGAAGCAAGAAUAAUAGAAUUUUUCUUACUCCCAAAGCACAGUAAAUAUUAAUUGAACAAUUUGUUUUGAAGCUCUAACAGAACCUGAAAUAAAUGUAAGACAAGUUCCUAAUCUGGAUAAUAUGGAAAAAAUAAGAGAAAUAAACUGUUCGGUAACAGGAAGACCAACUCCAGUAAUUACCUGGAAGAUGAAGAAACCUCUUCAGAUAAAGCCAAAAUCACAUAUGAUUUCACACUCAAAUAAGACAGUAACUGUUAUCAGCACGUUUACUCAAGUCUUGUCCAAGACAGUCUCAGAAAAUUCAGUAAUCUGUGUUAUUCAACAUCCAUCUCUAAACACUUCACAAGAGUUGAUGUUAUCUGAAAUUGUAAGCAAACAAGCCCCAAACAAACAUCAAAGAAUUGUUAUUGCAACUGUCUGUAUACUGGUUUCCCUAUUUGUCCUUGGGUUAUUUAUCUUUUUCAUAUGCUGGUAUAGGAGACGAGCACUAAUAGAAAAAGAGCAAGAUCUUCCAUGCUGGGUUGUUCCACUUUGUUCUGGAAAAACAUCAUGUAGAAAAAAUGGCUACACAAAGAGAAAGGCCCCUAUGAAAUCACUUGCUGAAAGAAAGUUUCUGGACACAUGAAACAUUUCUAUACAAAACAUGAAAUCACAUGAUGGAAAGGCAUGAACACAUAGCUCUGAGCAUAGACAGGAGCAUGCAACCAGCAGGCUGGUUAGCACCUAAAGGACCUCUCCUUGCCUUUUAAUUAAUUUUCAGCAUUCUUUGCCUCUUUUAAAUAUUAUAUAUAGUUUUUAUGCUUUUAAUAUUAUAUUUGUAUACUGCCCAGACUCCUUCUGUGAGAGAGAUGGGUGAUUCCUAAAUAUACUAAAUAAAUAAAUAAAAACAAUAAUAUUUUCCCUAUGAAUACUCCUUAUUCUGGAUUUUUUUUUCCAAAUUAGGUAUUGCCUAUGUGUUUACAAUUAAUGUUUAUGAGCCAUACUCUAUGUAAGGCAUACUGAUAACCAGAAACAAAGCUAAAUAAUAUAGUAACAUCCAAUAAAAAUGUUUAUUUGCAAAUGAGGCUGUAUUGUUUUAUUUACUACUUAUUCUAUUCCUUUCAGCAAUCAGUAAUUGAUGAUAAUCAGAUAAUUAAUGAUAAUUUCUAAAUAAUUCCAUUUACGACAAUUGAAAUGAUCCUUAUGGUGAAAAUAACACAGGACAGUAUUACAGCUUUGCUAAAGAUACAAUUCCAGUUCCAUUACAGAAUUGUAAAAGAUGACUUAUGUGAAAUUUUGAAAUAAAAAACAAAAUGCAAGCAAGAGAAACAC
RNAcentral lists this long non-coding RNA (1468 nucleotides) under Pseudonaja textilis. RNAcentral describes it as "lncRNA (ENSPTXG00000004647.1)". Lineage: Eukaryota; Metazoa; Chordata; Lepidosauria; Squamata; Elapidae. The record is from RNAcentral.